This is a long non-coding RNA of Mauremys mutica (yellowpond turtle), 660 nucleotides long. RefSeq lists it as uncharacterized. The transcript is spliced from 3 exons. The record is from RefSeq and is a predicted model, not a curated record. NCBI's taxonomy places the organism in Eukaryota, Metazoa, Chordata, Testudines, Geoemydidae.
AGGGCCUGGCUCAGAGCCCCUCGGGUCUGGAUGGACGGACGGACGUAGGGAGGGCCUGGCUCAGAGCCCCUCGGGUCCAGACGGACAUAGGGAGGACCUGGCUCAGAGCCCCUCGGGUCCGGACGGACAGAUGGACAUAGGGAGGGCCUGGCUCAGAGCCCCUCGGAUCCAGACGGACAUAGGGAGGGCCUGGCUCAGAGCCCCUCGGAUCCAGACGGACAUAGGGAGGGCCUGGCUCAGAGCCCCUCGGGUCUGGAUGGACAUAGGGAGGGCCUGGCUCAGAGCCCCUCGGGUACGGAUGGACAUUGGGAGGGCCUGGCUCAGAGCCCCUCGGGUCUAGAUGGUCAGUUGAAUGCAGAUAUGCAGAUGAUGCAGUAAUAUAUGCCAGCCACAAGGUCAGCAAUUAGGCAGACCCAGGAUCAGGAUUAGAGUGGCAUGGGGCACAUCUGAUGAGGCACCAGAUCAGAGAAUGCAGCUCCCAGCACUGAUGAGCAAAGAGCAGGAGCACCAUGUAUACCUCUGAGGAGCCAAGACGGAUUCCUGAUGUGACCAGUGAAGAGGAGGAGGAUGGGGGUCAUGUGACUGCGGGAAGGGUCCAGAUAUGCAUGAGCCAAGUUCUGUUGGAGACUCCACUGCUGUCUAGUCUGGCCCAGCAGCCAA